This is a long non-coding RNA of Corvus hawaiiensis (hawaiian crow), 209 nucleotides long. RefSeq lists it as uncharacterized. The transcript has 3 exons. NCBI's taxonomy places the organism in Eukaryota, Metazoa, Chordata, Aves, Passeriformes, Corvidae. The record is from RefSeq and is a predicted model, not a curated record.
GUGACCUGGAAGAUAUUCUGACAAGAAUGAAGAAGAAAGGGAUGGAAACGCAGAAGGAUGAACACCCAUCUGUCGAGAAGCCUGUGAAGAAGAGGAGCGAUGGCUCGAAGAAGCCCCAGGCCACAUUGCCUUCUAGUAAACGGGUGAAGUCUACCUCUGAUGGACGCCUCCUACGCCGCCCAAAAGCCCAGGUCACGUUACCUCCGGCU